This 286-nucleotide long non-coding RNA is filed under the name Nicotiana benthamiana. Its description in RNAcentral is "long non-coding RNA (NBEN_LNC001806)". The record is from RNAcentral. Lineage: Eukaryota; Viridiplantae; Streptophyta; Magnoliopsida; Solanales; Solanaceae.
CCUUUCCCUUGCUUUAGCUAACCGGAAUAACUUUCUGUCCCCGUCUUUCUCCCCUAAUUCCUCGUAUAUGCGACCAAACGCCGCGUUUUUGGCUUCCGUAACCCCCAUCUUUGCUUCUUUCCUCGCCGCCUUGUAGAUCUCCCUGUUCGCACUCCGUUCUUCCUCGCUUGUGCUCCCUGCCAUCAUAGCAAACGUCGCCUUCUUCACCUCCACUUUUCCUUGGACUACCUUGUUCCACCACCAGUCACCCUGAUGUCUGCCUGAAUAGCCCUUGGCUACCUCGAGC